Molecule: long non-coding RNA, 259 nt
Filed under: Mytilus galloprovincialis (Mediterranean mussel)
Lineage: Eukaryota; Metazoa; Mollusca; Bivalvia; Mytilida; Mytilidae
Source: RNAcentral
GGGGAGAGUAUUUAUGCAUUUCAUUGAUAUCAUAACUCUCAAGUGUAAUUUCUAUUGUUUCUUUCAAUCUGGACACAAAAACUGAUUUUUACAAUAUACUUCAUGCUUCUCUCACAGUACACUGAGUGCAUCCUGGAUAGCCGCAGUUAAAGAUAGAAAUUUGUGUAAAAAACAGCUUUAAAUGGUUCCAAAAUCCUUCCAUUACAUUAACAUUUACAGGAAAUGAGUUUUGUGAUUAUUGUGUGGCCUUGGACAAGUA